AUCCUCAACAAAACAAAGCAAAAUAAGGUGACUUCCAUUUCAAGAAAGUUCGGCUUGAAUCCCCAUCAACCUUCGAGCCCUCUUGGAAGUUGAAUGCGUGUAUCAAAUUAACUGAACUUAGAAACUGGAGAUCAUCAAGAAGAAGGGGUGGGUAAAAAUUAAAUUUGAUCCUUAUAUCCAUUUGUUUACAAAAAAUCUGAACCAUGCCACAUUACAACCCUUAAAAGACCUAAUUG
Molecule: long non-coding RNA, 236 nt
Filed under: Lathyrus oleraceus (garden pea)
Lineage: Eukaryota; Viridiplantae; Streptophyta; Magnoliopsida; Fabales; Fabaceae
Description: Pisum sativum (pea) long non-coding RNA (PSAT_LNC018528)
Source: RNAcentral